This 1439-nucleotide long non-coding RNA is filed under the name Musa acuminata (dwarf banana). Its description in RNAcentral is "long non-coding RNA (MACU_LNC000035)". The record is from RNAcentral. Lineage: Eukaryota; Viridiplantae; Streptophyta; Magnoliopsida; Zingiberales; Musaceae.
AUUAACAUAAUCAUAUUCAGUCAUUGACAACACAUGUUUUUCUUGUUUCAUGUAUGUUGUCAAUCCAAAAUAAACUAAAUUUCUAGAAAAAUAAGUGUAAUCAUGUCCUAAAUAUUUAUUUCAACCCAAAAGUAUACUAUAGAUCUCCUUCGAUAUAGUUAACAAAUAUUUAUUAAUAAUAAUCUCAUUUUCUUUAAUACUGUACAGAGGCCUAUGUUAAUUGGGCCUCUCGGUAGGGUCAAAUUUUGGGAACCAAGUGGGCCACUCUCAAUUGGGUAAGAUUUAGGGCAAAAUUAAGGUCAAAUAUGUCAAAAUUAGGUUUUGGGUCAAAAUUAGGUUGUCACCUCAGCCAUUCACGCACGACUUCACCGCGGUCGACGCCCCGGUGUGCACGGUCAAUCACCUCCCCACCGUCUUGGCAGCGACGCUGCACCGUCGUCCGACGCAACUAUCCCUGCCGGCAUACCCACAGCCAGCGAAGGAACAUGGCGAAGAAUCCCAUCGCCCUCGUCGUCGCCAUCUGUGGCCAAGCGUGCGGCCGAGUUCCACCGCCUGAGGCGCUGCUCCGCCGAGCAAAAGAGAAAUACCUGACCAGCUCCGCGCCUCGCCUUCUGCGGUGAUCGUUCCUGCGACGACUUGUUCCGCGACGCCUCUCUCCCGCCGCGACUUCCGUUCCUUCGACGCCCGCCCCUUCACAGUCCCUCCGUCUCCGCCGUCUGCGGUUUCCACCCGCGUGGCUUGAGAUGAUGUGCAUAGCCUGCAAACAGGCAAGCAGAAGGAUAGGUGCAUUGAUUCAUUGCAAGUAAUUUGAAUAUUAAUUUAAAAUCUAAAGUAAUUAUAAUAUAUCUUUUUUUUUAUGAUUUAAGAUAUUUAUAUUUUAUCAACUCUCAUAUCACUCGUUAAAAAUUUAGAGUAGAAAAAAUAUUUAAUAAGAAUUAAAAUCUAUAAUAUUAUAAUUAGGCAAUAGUAUUGUAACAUUAUUAAUAUGAUGUAACAAAGUUAUAGAUCUAUACGUUGAAUCUCAUAUUUUCAUGAUGAAACCACUUGAUAUAUGUUUAUGAUUUAAUCUGCGUUUUGAGUGACGCAGGAUGCUUCGAUCAGGAUGAGACAAUUAAAGCAGGAAAAAUCAUGUUGUGCCGGAGGAACAUAUCAGAAGAUUAGACAUAAGGCCGGUUAUCGAUCGACGUAUCGAUAGAAGGCUUCGGGCCGUGGACUCGGGCAUUGGGCCAAGAAGAGUAGGUGUUGUGCCAAGGAUAUCGGAGUUGCGGAGUCAACUGGCCGAUUGGGCAAUUGGCCGUAGGAGAGGACGAUGCGCCGAAGAAUCAGACGAAGCGUAAGGGACCAAUGAUAUACUAGACAACUUGAUUAAUGCUUAGUAUUAAUUGUCUAGAUCGAAGUUUGUUUUACAUGUGUAUGAUUAACUACGAUGGAAGUAAGAC